CCGGGAUGGCCUCAAGAAGUCCUUUAAAUACCCUGAAUGAUCUGAAGACCCGAGGGAAAUGGAAGAAUAUAUUGGAUGCACAUGACAGCCCAGGCAUGGCGAUGACCGGUGUUGUCUCCCCCAAGGACAUCGACACUGCUCUGUCCAGCUGCAAAGAACCCGGCAGCUUCAACCCCAAAGCUGUCUUCUCCCAGGUGGGCUUAUCCAGAAAGAACCCUGACCCAUCAGGAAAGCAUUUACGAGCCUAGACCGGACAAGAGCAGCCUCAUUGAAGAUGAGGAGUUUGAGCUGUUCCUACAGGACAUUUCCAGCUCUCCCCAGGUUCUGACUGACAAGGAGACCACGGACGUCCUCAAGGUGGGCGACUCAGAUGGAGACUGCAAGAUGGGAGUAGAUGAAUUCCAAACACUGGUAAAGGCUUAGCCAGCUUUCGACGCAAGGAUGACCUCAAGAUUUGUCCCUGGUCCCCCUCCUGCUUCUGGGCUCAUCUCUCCAUCCUUUUCCGAUGCUCCGUUGCAUCAGUGAAACAACCGCACCAUCAGGACGCGUCGCCAAGUAGGCGUUUGGGGUGACAUAGCCACAUGUCCCAAUAGGGGCAGAGCAAAAGGCAAGGGACCGUGGCAACUCACAAUAUGGCCUCUCAGCUAGGAGGUGAAGAAAUAAGGCCCAAAGCAGCCUACAAAUGGAUGUGCC
This 693-nucleotide long non-coding RNA is filed under the name Equus caballus (horse). Its description in RNAcentral is "lncRNA (ENSECAG00000035612.2)". The record is from RNAcentral. Lineage: Eukaryota; Metazoa; Chordata; Mammalia; Perissodactyla; Equidae.